GGGAGCUUAGCUCAGCUGGUUUAGAGCAUCUGCCUUACAAGCAGAGGGUCGGCGGUUCGAUCCCGUCAGCUCCCACUA
Molecule: transfer RNA, 78 nt
Filed under: Chitinophagaceae bacterium
Lineage: Bacteria; Pseudomonadati; Bacteroidota; Chitinophagia; Chitinophagales; Chitinophagaceae
Description: tRNA-Val
Rfam family: tRNA
About the family: Transfer RNA (tRNA) molecules are approximately 80 nucleotides in length. Their secondary structure includes four short double-helical elements and three loops (D, anti-codon, and T loops).
Source: RNAcentral